Non-coding RNA from Poecilia reticulata (guppy), 217 nucleotides. The record is from RefSeq and is a predicted model, not a curated record. NCBI's taxonomy places the organism in Eukaryota, Metazoa, Chordata, Actinopteri, Cyprinodontiformes, Poeciliidae.
CUUUUGAAUCGCCGCGAACCGAUCCAAAGCAACUACGCGCUGGACUACCACGUGCCUCAGGAAUCUGAAGACACACCAAUAAAGACGGAAGCGCCUUUGCUUCUGUGUUCCUGCCAGUUUUCAUCUCCACUUGUUCCCUUAAUCUGGACUCCUUCCUGCUCUAGCUGAGCUAAGUGACAGCUUUAGCCACACGAGAGGCCAGCAUCCAGAAAAAAAA